CGGUAAAGGAGGCCGUGUAGAAGACCUUUGGUCAAUGGAAUAAAACGGAAAAAUGUAUCAACCGAACCAAAGCGUGGAAGUCUGUUUUCUCUACACCUGCUGAACGCCAGGUACCACAUACCUUCAUUAAAAUCAGAACUGCUACAGCAGAUCGCACGAAUCUUCCAGGAGAAAAAAACAAAACUCAGCAACAGAAUCUGCUUUUCUCUUUUCCUGCCUGGAAAAGACAAGAAACAGGAGAGGUGACAAAAAGGUGACAUGUGGCCUGAGUUCCUCCUGUGUGAAGGAAAAACAUCACAUUCAACCACAUCCCUGCAUCAAGAAGAGUGUGUUCUGUCUGUUUUCAUUCGGUAAGUUUGUGUGUGUGCGCGCAUGUGUGUGUCUGUGUGUGUUUUCAAAGCAACCUCAUGUCAAUUCAGAACCAGGCCAAAAAAACACAACCCGAUGGCCAAUAGAAUCAUCCUAAUGCCAAAAUGAAACACAAUUUCCACCUUGUUUUACCUAUCCAAGUUUCAAGUGUUAAUAUCUAUAUAUUUUUACACUCACUGAACACUUAUUAGG
Molecule: long non-coding RNA, 561 nt
Organism: Ictalurus punctatus (channel catfish)
Lineage: Eukaryota; Metazoa; Chordata; Actinopteri; Siluriformes; Ictaluridae
Source: Ensembl